GACGAACGCUGGCGGCGUGCUUAACACAUGCAAGUCGAACGGAAAGGCCCUGCUUUUGUGGGGUGCUCGAGUGGCGAACGGGUGAGUAACACGUGAGUAACCUGCCCUUGACUUUGGGAUAACUUCAGGAAACUGGGGCUACUACCGGAUAGGAGCUCCUGCUGCAUGGUGGGGGUUGGAAAGUUUCGGCGGUUGGGGAUGGACUCGCGGCUUAUCAGCUUGUUGGUGGGGUAGUGGCUUACCAAGGCUUUGACGGGUAGCCGGCCUGAGAGGGUGACCGGCCACAUUGGGACUGAGAUACGGCCCAGACUCCUACGGGAGGCAGCAGUGGGGAAUAUUGCACAAUGGGCGGAAGCGUGAUGCAGCAACGCCGCGGGCGGGAUGACGGCCUUCGGGUUGUAAACCGCUUUCGCCUGUGACGAAGCGUGAGUGACGGUAAUGGGUAAAGAAGCACCGGCUAACUACGUG
This 468-nucleotide ribosomal RNA is filed under the name uncultured bacterium. RNAcentral describes it as "partial 16S ribosomal RNA". It matches the Rfam family "Bacterial small subunit ribosomal RNA", at positions 28 to 507 of the family's 1533-position model. The record is from RNAcentral.